GGCCUAGUAAAUCUCAACUUUUUUGUUCUUCAGUUUUCAAUAUGAGUUCUUGAUAAGUGAAUGUCUGUUACUGGAGUGUUCAUAAUACUGUAGAAUAUGUAGUUACAAACUUUCUGAAUUUCAAUUGCAUCUUAUACCUUAAGAGUUAAGGCCGACAAGGGAACACAUUUAUGCUUAUGGUCAGAAGAACUCGUGAAUUUAAGAAAUACAUUUGCAUCUCAAAUAUGUUUUGAAUAAUCAGUCAAGGUGCUAUCUUGCUAGUUUAUCUGAUGUUAGGUCUUGACAAUUAGAUGAAAGUUCUUGGCUGAUAGCCUCCAUUGCUUUGUUGGUUUUAAUUAGUUAGUUCUACCCUGUUCCCAACAUAUGACACUUAAAGGUGCCAAUC
This 385-nucleotide unclassified non-coding RNA is filed under the name Hevea brasiliensis (rubber tree). Lineage: Eukaryota; Viridiplantae; Streptophyta; Magnoliopsida; Malpighiales; Euphorbiaceae. The record is from RNAcentral.